UCGAGAAUUUUUCUCAAUGGGCGAAAGCCUGAAGGAGCGACGCCGCGUGGGGGAUGAAUGGCUUCGGCCCGUAAACCCCUGUCAUUUGUGAACAAAUUGAUUCACCUAACACGUGAAGCAUUGAUUGUAGCGGAAGAGGAAGGGACGGCUAACUCUGUGCCAGCAGCCGCGGUAAUACAGAGGUCCCAAGCGUUGUUCGGAUUCACUGGGCGUAAAGGGUGCGUAGGCGGUCGGGUAAGUCUGACGUGAAAUCUCCGAGCUUAACUCGGAAACUGCGUUGGAUACUAUCCGGCUCGAGGAAUGGAGGGGAGACUGGAAUACUUGGUGUAGCAGUGAAAUGCGUAGAUAUCAAGUGGAACACCAGUGGCGAAGGCGAGUCUCUGGACAUUUCCUGACGCUGAGGCACGAAAGCCAGGGGAGCAAACGGGAUUAGAUACCCCCGUAGUCC
Molecule: ribosomal RNA, 448 nt
Filed under: uncultured bacterium
Lineage: Bacteria
Description: bacterial SSU rRNA
Rfam family: Bacterial small subunit ribosomal RNA
Source: RNAcentral